UCUACGGGCGGCAGCAGUGGGGAAUAUUGCACAAUGGGCGAAAGCCUGACCCAGCAACGCCGCGUGAGCGAUGAAGGCCUUCGGGUCGUAAAGCUCUGUCCUCAAGGAAGAUAAUGACGGUACUUGAGGAGGAAGCCCCGGCUAACUACGUGCCAGCAGCCGCGGUAAUA
Molecule: ribosomal RNA, 170 nt
Filed under: uncultured bacterium
Lineage: Bacteria
Description: partial 16S ribosomal RNA
Rfam family: Bacterial small subunit ribosomal RNA
Source: RNAcentral